Lolium perenne is the source of this 1798-nucleotide non-coding RNA. The record is from RefSeq and is a predicted model, not a curated record. Lineage: Eukaryota; Viridiplantae; Streptophyta; Magnoliopsida; Poales; Poaceae.
UGUCGCCAUCUCCUCCGCCAGCACCCAGUCCCGGCCGCCGAUUGGCGCCACCAUGACGCUGCUCGUCUCCGCGUACUCCUGAUUUCGCGGCUAACCUAAGACGCCCAAUGCCUCCACCUGGCCGAAAAGAAGCCGUCCGCUCCAAGGUGCUCGGCGGGGAUUCGUUCGGGCACUCAUUCAUCUCCAACCGGAAGAGCUGGAGAGUACAAGGUGCGUGCCGUGGCCGAGGUGUGCUCUGGCUGUAUGUGCUGCGGUGGUGAAGCUUGCUGCUGCAGUAAGGGAACCACAUGCGAGUGAGCUCGAGGGCACCUAAGUGCAAUUUUUUUACCGAUGACUCUUGGCGUUGGAUUCGCCAUGGUUUAUCCACUAAUGGUUGCUUUGUUUUCUUCGUUAUUGUGAUACUGCUUGUCUGCUUGCAUGGAGGCAAUUCGAAGGACAUCUAUUGUCUAUGACUCUAUGUGCCAAGUUCAUAGUCUGAACCGAAAUGUCAUUCUUAUUUUAUCAUGAUACUCUUCUUGUACAUUUCUCUAAUUAUUAAUCGCAUGGUGCUAUCUUUACAUGUUUGUGCUUGCACGGACUAAGCUAUCUCUCUACAGUUGUCAAAUCGAUCUUCAAAAUCUUUUCGUCUCAGCCUCUGCUUUUCUUGUAGAUCAUGCUUCAGAUAAGUGGUUAUGUUGACCAAGACACCAGGGGAAUGGUAAAUUUGCUUUCCAUGUUUUGGAGUUGGAUACCUGCGAGAUACCAAAACAAAAGGCAAGAUAUUCUUAAAAUUCUCAUGCCCUGACACAUGUAUUCUAAUUGGGGAUAUCAACACACAGUUCCACAUUUUUAAGGUAUAUUGGAUUUGGGGCAUUCCUGUAGAGGUUGAUGGCUCCAAAGUGUACGUCCUUUACCUGGACACUGAAGGAUGAUGAAGGAUUUGAAAGCAAUGGAAAAUCGAAUGUACUCCGUAUAUGAUGAUAGUAUGUGCUCAUGAUAUACAAACUGAACAACACGUUGAACAUGAAGGUCUUCUGGGAGAGGGAGAAACCCACAUCCUGAGUUAGAAAAAUAAAGUGCUGGAAAUUGUAUCUUCUUGGAAAAACGAUGAGGACGAGACCUACGGUGGCAAUCAACCUGAAAACACUACUGUUCAUUCGCUCUCUAUAACCUGAUGCAAUCUCCUGAGACAAAGGCACUUGGCUUUGCUGCAAGAUUUAGAUCUUCCUAUCUAUUUGCCUACGUAUUUGGUAUACUUUUCACCCUCUCACAUUUCCGCUUCCACAAAACAAAAUCUGAUGUUGAAUACUACAAUUUUCAAGGUAUCGGGAUGUACAAUACCCAGAUAUUGGUGCCACAGGAGGCCUAUCACAUUGGAUGUUCUUCCUAUGAUGCCAGACGGUUCUACACGCUUUGGACUUUUUUUAGCUAGGAUGUUCCUAGAUAGACUAGCAGCAUCACAAAUGCAUUUUCUUCAGCUAUACACACUUAUAACAAUCAAUAUGAAUAAAAGACGCUGCUAGAUAACCAUUCUAGGCGAAGCUGUUGGGAUCUAUUAGGAUUAUCAUCGACACUGAUUCAAAACUGUUGUGAAGAUCUAAAACUACAGCUUGUAUUUGGUUCUCCUGUUGGGAGGUCAUAGCUUGUAGGAGAGAGGAAAAUACAACGGCACAUGAUAUGGACAGUUAGGGAGCCAAGCAAACAUAAUAUAAUGUUUUAGUUUCUACCUGAUAAAUACCAUUGAUAUUAACAUUAUUACUGCAGAUCGUCAUUUUUAUGGUGCUUAAAAUUAGAGUUGCUGCUUGGUUUUUCCCUGGAU